AUUUAAUAGCUUUUUAUUUACAUUUCAGACAAUGACGUAGAUGGCAAGAGAGUGGAUUGCAUACCCACAAAGAGUAUGAUAGGGUAUCUCUGACAAGUCUGACCAAAAGCUGUUAAAGUUCAGACUUCACACUCCGCUACAAGGAGGUCACCCUUAAUUUGGAAGCAGUCAAGCCAGAACAACAAACAUGUGUCCCAUACAGAGAUAAGAAUGUGGGAACCUACUUGCCACAGACUGCCUUGCAGAACCGGUCCAAAAGGAACAACAGUACCGCAACAACAUAAUGAGGAGUCUAUAUGAAAUGCAGUGUUCAAUGUAAGUGUUACUGUUCAAAUAUAACAAAUAUGUACAGGCUUUGAGAAAAUAAUUUUUUUAUUCUUGUUGGUAACAACCAGUAAAGAAUGGAUAACUGAAAGCAUGUCAAAAGCAAUAUUAACUUCUGACCUGCAAUCCUGAAGUAGUCACUGGUCUUAACUUGUAUUAUAGGUUGUUUAAUACUGCAAAUAAAAUUUAUUUAUUUCCCAUC
This is a long non-coding RNA of Micropterus salmoides (largemouth bass), 526 nucleotides long. RefSeq lists it as uncharacterized. The transcript has 2 exons. NCBI's taxonomy places the organism in Eukaryota, Metazoa, Chordata, Actinopteri, Centrarchiformes, Centrarchidae. The record is from RefSeq and is a predicted model, not a curated record.